Molecule: long non-coding RNA, 729 nt
Organism: Cercocebus atys (sooty mangabey)
Lineage: Eukaryota; Metazoa; Chordata; Mammalia; Primates; Cercopithecidae
Exons: 2
Source: RefSeq, a predicted model, not a curated record
CUAGAAAAAAUUAAAAAUUUAAAACUACUUUAAAAAAACUUUUCUGUGUCAUAUACUAGAAAAUAAGAAGCUAUCUUCUUACCAUUUUAGAAGUUUUGCAACAGCCAUGCUGCUUCAAGAAAAGUGAAAAACACACUGAAAUAGACAUUGGAGACAAAUAUUUAGAAGUAUAAUCCUUCACAGCUAAAAGUUAAGUAAAACAAAUAAUACCCUCUCAUUAUAGUUUAAAUAUAUAAAACACAAGUAUGUCUAUAAGCUGGAACCACCAUCUUACUUCCUUUCCCCUUCUAUAGGCACUUCCAAGGAUUAAAGGAGUAAAAUCCAAAGCCUCUGCAUGUUAAAUACUCUAGGUAACCAACUCUUCCUCUCUGCUUUUGUGGACUGGAGCAGAAUUUCCCUGAGUGCCUCACCCCCACACUCCUCAGUAAAUUUCUCUACAAUAUCUCCCUUACUGAAAAGGAUGAUUCUGAGCAAGCACAAAGCAGCUCCUGCCCACCAAGAAGCUAGAGACUCAGUUUCUUAGUGACAUUGCUGCAAUAAGGAAUCUAAAAAAAAUCAGGUAAAGUCACUUCAAAGCAAAUGGGAGUUAAAAAUAAGUAGGAUUCUUCAGAGACUAAUUAAGACUUGAAAAUCAGGAAGUUGAUGCCCAUAGGGAAGUGCCGGGUAUUCAGAGGGCAGAACUGUAACUUGCUAAGCAAUCCUGGGUGAAAUAUUCCAUCUCCUUGUAUU